This 253-nucleotide ribosomal RNA is filed under the name uncultured bacterium. RNAcentral's name for it is "partial 16S ribosomal RNA". It matches the Rfam family "Bacterial small subunit ribosomal RNA", at positions 524 to 776 of the family's 1533-position model. The record is from RNAcentral.
UACAGAGGGUGCUAGCGUUGUUCAGAAUCACUGGUCGUAAUGGGUGCGUAGGCGGGCCUUUAAGUCAGGGGUGAAAUCCUGGAGCUCAACUCCAGAACUGCCUUUGAUACUGAAGAUCUUGAGUUCGGGAGAGGUGAGUGGAACUGCGAGUGUAGAGGUGAAAUUCGUAGAUAUUCGGAAGAACACCAGUGGCGAAGGCGACUCACUGGACACGUAUUGACGCUGAGGGGCGAAAGCGUGGGGAGCAAACAGG